This is an RNA transcript of Mercenaria mercenaria, 3409 nucleotides long. RefSeq lists it as uncharacterized. The record is from RefSeq and is a predicted model, not a curated record. The transcript has 2 exons. Lineage: Eukaryota; Metazoa; Mollusca; Bivalvia; Venerida; Veneridae.
UUCUUAUAUUGAGUAACGAUAAAACGGCAUAUUUAGUUUUAUUGCCGAUUAAAUCAUUGAUUUGAUAAGGGAAUAUCCCGUCAUAGCUGGUUUACCAAUCAGGAGCAGAUCAUUGCAGCUGAAAAAGAAAUACACGGAGAACAAUGUAGAGGUGGAGGGUAAGCCAAAGAGGAAAAUGAUAGGGCAAGUUUAACGUUCGUUCACCCUAUAGCCUUUGUGAUAAAAAAAGCACCGCUCUAUAACUUGUGAUAACAAACAUUUUGUCAACAUUACGAUUGGGAAAACGCGAGUUAUACCGGAACAGCAAACGUACAAUAACAAAAAUACGGAAGAUGAUUUUGAUUCGGGGACAUAGAACUUGUUUGCAAAUAAGCACAUGACCUAAUGGAAUACCCAACAACGGAUAUUUUAAAGUAGCAUCGUGCUAUAGUGGGGCUGCUAGUGACUAUGUGUCUUUAUGCACUUGUUGACGCACAUUGUGUACAUCCGCCGUAUGCCAAAGCAAACAAGACAGCACUUUACAGGAAAAUAUUUCAUGACUAUUACGUGGGUCGAUGGACUUUUAAUAUCAUUCGUGAGUACCGUUCCAAUGCUGAACAUAUCGUUGAACGACGGAAAGAAAGGAAUAAAGGUGGUUAUUUUAGAUUAGGAAAAUACAACAGAUUUCAAAGCCGGUUGUAUGGAGAACCUAAGUGCAGAAGACAGUCUUCGACAAACUCAUCAUUAACUUGUCCAUGGUACGUGGUUGUAGACGUGGACUUGAACAGGGAACCUCAAACAAUGGCUAAAGCAAAAUGCUCCUGCAAUAGAUGCUUGUCUGCUGGUGGCACUGAACAGAGAGGUGGUCGUUGUGCCACAGUGAACACCUAUGUUCCAGUUAUAAAAUGGGAAUGUCCUGAGACGUAUUCAGACACCGAUACGUAUUAUCGUUAUUUCAUACACCUUGAAGAAGUGCCAGUAGGCUGCACGUGCAGAAGUCCAACUAAAGGUAAUAUAUAAUAACCAUGUUCUGCUCAAAUGAGAUCACAGUUUUGACACAAACUGAUGAUAUUCUGUGAGCCAACUGCCAAAGCUACUCAGAUAAGAAGAAAAUAGAGCAAACAGUUCAUUAUAGUUUUAAUACGUAUCCUUGUCAAAAAUGUGUUCACACAGGUAAACAUACAAACCUUUGUAACCUACAAAUGUCUAAAAGGUUUAAUGGGACACUCGAAACUUUUUUAAUAGUUAUAUGAUCUACAUACAUGAUAACAUUUCAUGGAUAUUAUCAUCAGCAGGACUUUACAAUCAGCAUUUAGAUAUCUAGUCAGUAUGAAGAGAUCUCUGUUCCGAAUUGUUUUGUCUCUAUUGACAGAUGUUCGUGUUUUUCAUACAUCUCUAUGUUUAUUUAUUGCUGUUGCAGUUUGUUUAUUUUAUAGUGUUUGUUUUUGUGCGUCUGUAUGUUGAAAUUGUUUUUAAAGUGUUUGCAUAGUCCUUAAAGUAGGAUGUAGAGAAGCUUAUAUCUUUUGUUAUUCAACUUAUCAUUUGACUAAAAAAUAAUAAAUCUUUGAAUGUUCCUUUGCUAUCAAGGUAAUCAGUAGAGAUAAAAUACACCUAACUUUACAUUGCAUAGUGUCAUAAUAAUUUUACAAAGUAGAAGUCAAUGACUAUUUUUUAAUUUCAAUUAGAAUGAAUAACAAAAUAAUCUCUGAUGACUUUUUGAACCGACAUAUUUAGCAAAAGUGUAAACUUUAUUGUUUUUCGUUGAAAGAAUCAAUUUUCACGUGUUAAAACUAUUUGCUGUUUAAUAAUAAUAAUAAUAAUAAUAAUCAUAAUAAUGUUUUAAAUUCAGUCCUUAAUAUGUAACUUAGAGCGUAAAAGAGAUGGUUAUUUGAAGAAUUAACAUAUAGACAUUAUACUGCUUUUUUACAAUACAUUUCAAACAAAGUCGCAACGCAUUUUUUUUCCAAAUGAAAACAGGUAUAGAAGUUUGCUUUGAGUUUGUUAUUACUUCUUUAAAGAUUGUAUUUGAAAUCCAUAACCGCAAGAUUUAUUUUAUUCAUUAGAACCUAUAGAUAACAAUAAUUUACAGUAUUAUUUAACGUUUCUCCUUUUUCAUUUUCAUAAACCGCUCUUUGAAAAAAGGGUAAACAAGCGUUUAAUUCGUAUCAUGCCAGGUUAAAACGUUCUUAAUUUCUUUAGAUAUAGAAAAGAAAACUUCUCUUCCGCAUUGUAAUGUCGGUGACAACCUUGAAAGGUUCGUUCAAUGUAAAAUUCAGAUUAAUGUCAAUAUAUUGUCAAACAUGAUAACGCCUUUAUCGUGAUAAAAUGUAUUAAAUUAAACUUAGCUAUAUUUAAAUGUUCUUCAGAUGUGUUCAAACAUUUUACAAUAAGGAAGUGUGGUAUUUUUCCGCUAUUCGGGUCUAGAUAUACCACUUAGUUGAAUUUGUAGAUAAAAACAUCAAACCAGGUGAAUUCCAUGUCUUAUUUAGUUUAAAUAAGAUUUUAAGUUUUUAAAAAAAUAAGAUGUUAGUAUGUUAUGACAAUCUUUAUUAUAUAUCGCGAACUAUGAGCAGUACUGGUGGCAUAAAAGGGGAAUGAUCAUAGUAAGGCCUAAAAAAAUUCUUUGUUUCCGGUAACAUGCUCGAAAAAAUUAGGGUAGGUAGGUCGGAUUUUUUUUUUUUUUUUUUUUUUUUUUGAGUUUAUUUUUUAUUAAGUGAGUCUUUUCGGAAAUUAGUUUUGUGUCAAAAAAAAAAAAAAUGAAUACAAAUAAGGGGGUUAUGCCUUUAGAGCAUCAGUAAGUUGAUUUCCAACAUCACUGACCAUGUUUAAGGCAUAGAAAAUGCAGUUUUGCAACUUUUUGUUAAAAAGUUGAAAAAAAAUUUCUCCAAGGCCAUGAAAACAUUUCUAGGUCGGGCCAAAAAUUUAGGGUAGGUCGGGAUGCCGGAAACAAACAUUUUUUACGCCUUAGCAUUGUCUGAAGCAACAACAUGUAAAUGUUUUGUGCAGCUUCCAAAGUUUGUAUUAUUAAAUGCAUGUUAUUAUCACUUUAUGUUAGUAUAAAAACUUUUAGGUAAGAAAUAUUAAAUUUGAUUUGGCGGUAUAUUCAUACAAGUCUGAAGUGAUAUUAUUCUCUUUCUAUGUUUGCUAACCUGACACUUAGUGAAAUUCUAGAUAUACGUGCUAGUUUAUUAGUAUUUUGGUAUUCGGACAUAUUGUUUUAAUGGGAUUUAUGUACUUUGUUUUGUUUUAUGAAAUUAUUUAUCAUAAUUUUCAUGUCAUUAGUACCAUCUGUCUUUCAGUAUUUAUUUGCUAAAUUAUUUAGUCGUUGUUUAUGUAAUUUUCUAUAUACAAGGAAUUGUUAUUGCGAUUAUAUUGUCAAUUUGUUUUUGAACAAAAGAAACCUUUAUGAUGUUUUAAAUGGCAGCUUAAA